This is a long non-coding RNA of Catharus ustulatus (Swainson's thrush), 2224 nucleotides long. RefSeq lists it as uncharacterized. The record is from RefSeq and is a predicted model, not a curated record. The transcript is spliced from 2 exons. Lineage: Eukaryota; Metazoa; Chordata; Aves; Passeriformes; Turdidae.
CUGGAAUUUCUCUCACUCCUGUGGCUGCUGCCAGGAGAGGGAGAAGAGAACAGAGCUCAGCCAGGUGCUCUGAGCCUCAGCCUGGGGAAGGUGAUGUUAUCCCCUAGGGAUGAGCAUCCCUGCCUGAAGGGGAUGUAAUUCUUGCUGUGGGAAGAAGAAGCUGAGGAAAGGAGAGCUCUGUGCACUCCAGAGCUCAUCUGCAUCCCUGAGUGCCACACCCCGGGUGGUGCCGGCCUCAAACGAGAGCUGGGAAGGCUCGGGGCUGUGGAAAAUUUGGGAAUCGGGUGGGAAGGGCCGUGUGGAUGGGCUUUGGACCAACCUGGGUGAGGCGGAGACACAGGCUCUGCAAACUGGAUGCUGCUGCUGCUGCUGGUGCUGCUGCUGCCCCAGGAAACCUGAGCAAAGAGAAGGGAAGGAGAGGAGCUGUGGCACAGAGCAAGGAGCAGGAAUCCCACAGGAAUUCGUGGGGAUGGAAAUUACUGAAUUAAUAAUGAACUGAAGACCACCACAGGUGUCCCAGCAGACUGGAUCAAUGUUGUUUGGGAAGCAGCUCUGGCAGUGCUCCUUGAAGCUUCAUUUUUUUAAGGAAUGUUGGAAGCUGAAGCAAAACAUAUCAACCACUCCUAGGAACCUGACCUGCUGGAAGGGAGAAAUCUACCCCAAAAACAAGGGGAGUUUUGAUGAUUGGAAGCCAAGAUUUUACUCUGGAAGUACAAAUACUGUUGGAUUUUUUUCCCCUCACUUUUCAUUCAUACAUCCCUCCACUUCAUUUCCUUUAUCCAAAAUGCUCUCGAGUGAGCAGCUCAUUUCCCUGGCAACAACUUCCCAGCACAUCCCGUGCAUUUAAUUCCUUUUCUGGGCUGGGAGUGCCUUUUGUCCCUGGGGCAGAUGUGACAAGGCAGACAGAGGUGAGCUUUUUUCAGCGCACAUCCUGCCAGCCCAAAGCCUCGGGGCUUUUUGGGGUGGCCAUACCUUGUGCAGGUCCCCGAGGUGACUCCUCUCACUGCCACUUUUCAUUUUUUCCUGUGUGGGCACCACAGGGGUUGUGUGAGUGCUGGUGGGAAGUGAAAACCGGUUCUACACAGCCCUGGCUGUGAUGAGGAGGCUGCUGCAGGGGAGCAGUGACCCAGCGUUUCCAAAACCUGACAAUUCUCACCCAGACCUCUGUGCCCCAGCCUCUCAGGCUGAUUUUUGUGCAAUCAGCUGCAACAAAGUGCAGAAGCUGAAAUCUGAAAGGCUUCAAGAGCUGUAAUGUCACGAACCAGGAAGAAAUAGUGAUUUGCCAAGCUCUUUAUGCAAAUCCCCGGAGUGGCUGGAGCUGGAGGAAUCCUACAAAGGCUGGAAGGGGGAAUGAGAGGGAAUGUGUGUGUGAGUACUCAGAGAGCUCCAGAAGGGAUGGGGCUGCCCAGGUGAGCCUUCCAUCCUGCAGGGAGUGACUUUUCUGGAGCUGCUCUGCUUUCUCCCUGUACUCCUCAGAUUUUCACUCCUUUAGGUCACUGCUGCAGCUACUCUGACUGAAUGUUCCUUUCCCCCAUCCUCACCAGCCUGUUACACUCAGAUUUUGGCUCAUAGAUUACAGUCUUGGCAAGAAAACGCAAACCCAAAACAUGAAAAGAGAAGGUACAAAGCAAACACCACGAUGUUUUUACUCACUGCUGAACCAGUGGCUGCUUGUCGUGCUCUCCUCUGCUGCAGCAGCUCCUUGACUGUGAUCUUCACCCUCACACCUUGGUACACCUUGGGCUUUCCUGGAAGAAUUGAAGGAAAAACACUUUGCAAGGAGGGAGAAUCUCAGAGCAAACAGCAAAUCCAGCAGGUUUUCAGGUGUGCUCUAUGUGGAGAACAAUUAGACUUUACAUAACUAAUUGAUCUCUGUUUGCAAUCACACUCAGAGCCCUCUUCAGCACCUGCUGUUCCAGCUUGGGACAAGCAGACACUCAUGAAAAUCUGGCUGUUGAUAAUAUUUAAUAACCACAUGUUUUAUUUUUCUCUGUCUCCUUCUUCCCCCUGCCCCCCUCCCAGCUUUCCCAAUACCAAGCUCCAUCUGGUGCUGCUGUUGGAUUCAUUUAAAUUCCUGACAUAUUUGCCUCUCUCAGGACCUGAAAAUAAAUGUGGGAAGCGCUUCAUCUGGCAGAUGAAACCCAGGGAUAAAACAAUGGAAAUAUGUGGGUGGUUAUUCAGAGAGCUAAACAAAACACCAAUAAAAUGACUGCUUUCUUGCAAA